UGGUUAAGAUACUAAGGGCGUACGGUGGAUGCCUUGGCACGGGAAGGCGAUGAAGGGCGUGGUAAGCUGCGAUAAGCCCCGGGGAGGCGCAAACAGCCUGAGAUCCGGGGAUUCCCGAAUGGGGAAACCCGUCCGGAGUCAUGUCCGGACACUCCCUGCUGAAUCCAUAGGCAGGUGAGGGCCAACGGGGGGAACUGAAAUAUCUUAGUACCCCCAGGAAGAGAAAGCAACUGCGAUUCCCUCAGUAGCGACGAGCGAACGGGGAAGAGCCCAAACCAGCUUGAUGUCUAAGCCUGCACGCGUUGUCAAGCUGGGGUAGAGGGAUCCAGAGGGGCGCAGGUGCAGCUGCGCCGGGAAGUGACCAAUCCAAGGGUUAGCCGAAGCGACCUGGAAAGGUCGGGCCAAAGAGGGUGAUAGCCCCGUAGGCGAAAACUCUUGGACUUCCUGCUCUGGACUCCCAAGUACCGCGGGACACGUGGAAUCCCGCGGGAAUCCGCGAGGACCACCUCGUAAGGCUAAAUACUCUCCCGUGACCGAUAGUGCACUAGUACCGUGAGGGAAAGGUGAAAAGUACCCCUGGCGGGGAGUGAAAUAGGACCUGAAACCGUACGCCUACAAGCAGUCGGAGCCCCGCCUCGCGCGGGGUGACGGCGUGCCUUUUGCUUAAUGAGCCGGGGAGUUGUCGUACGUUGCGAGGUUAAGCCGCUCAGCGGCGUAGCCGUAGCGAAAGCGAGUCCGAACAGGGCGCCUGAGUAACGUGCGGCAGACGCGAAACCGGGUGAUCUACCCAUGGCCAGGGUGAAGCGGCCGUAAAAGGUCGUGGAGGCCCGAACCGCACAACGUUGAAAAGUUGUCGGAUGAGCUGUGGGUAGGGGUGAAAGGCCAAUCAAACUCGGAGAUAGCUCGUUCUCCCCGAAAUAGCUUUAGGGCUAGCCUCGCGUUAGAGUGGUGGAGGUAGAGCACUGAUUGGGCUAGGGCCCUCACAAGGGUACCAACCCCAAACAAACUCCGAAUGCCACCACCUCGAUGCGCGGGAGUCAGGCCACGGGGGAUAAGCUUCGUGGCCGAGAGGGAAACAACCCAGAUCGCCAGCUAAGGCCCCAAAGCACAGGCUAAGUGGUAAAGGAUGUGCAGCCGCUAAGACAGCCAGGAUGUUGGCUUAGAAGCAGCCAUCAUUCAAAGAGUGCGUAACUGCUCACUGGUCGAGCGGCUGUGCGCCGACAAUACUCGGGGCUCAAGCCUGUCGCCGAAGCUGCGGUCCCGAUCCCCUGGGGAUCGGGAGGUAGGGGAGCGUUCCGGUCGCCUGCGAAGCUCGACCGCGAGGUCGGGUGGAGGUCCCGGAAAUGAGUAUCCCGGCAUGAGUAGCGAUAAGGGAGGUGAGAAUCCUCCCCACCGAAAGCCUAAGGUUUCCUGAGUAAAGUUCGUCUGCUCAGGGUUAGCCGGCCCCUAAGCCGAGCCCAGGAAUCUGGGGUAGGUGAUGGGAAGCAGGUUUAAUAUUCCUGCGCCACUUGGGAACCGCUUGACCUAUGGGGUGACGCAGAAGGGGCGGCCAGCCGGGUGAUGGACGUCCCGGUCUAAGCGCGUAGGGGGGCGCCGUAGGCAAAUCCGCGGCGCCAUAACCCCGAGACGCGAAUGGGAGGGCUUAGCCCACAAACUGGCCUCAACCACGCUGCCAAGAAAAGCCCCUAUGGGAGGUUCCUAGGUGACCGUACCGCAAACCGACACAGGUAGGCGGGGAGAGCAUCCUAAGGUGCGCGGGUGAGUCCUGGUCAAGGAACUAGGCAAAAUGGCCCCGUAACUUCGGGACAAGGGGUGCCCCAAGUAGGUGAAGCCCCUCGCGGGCGGAGCUGAAAGGGGCCGCAGAGAAUCGGCCUGGGCGACUGUUUACUAAAAACACAGGUCUAUGCGAAGCCGUAAGGCGACGUAUAUGGACUGACACCUGCCCGGUGCCGGAAGGUUAAGGGGAAGGGUCAUCCCGACUUCGGUCGGGAGAAGCUCUGAACCGAAGCCCCGGUAAACGGCGGCCGUAACUAUAACGGUCCUAAGGUAGCGAAAUUCCUUGUCGGGUAAGUUCCGACCUGCACGAAUGGUGUAACGACUUGGGCACUGUCUCGACCAGGAGCCCGGCGAAAUUGUAGCACCGGUGAAGAUGCCGGUUACCCGCGACGGGACGGAAAGACCCCGUGAACCUUUACUGCAGCCUAGUACUGGGUUCUGGUAUUGCAUGUAGAGGAUAGGUGGGAGGCUGAGAAGUGCCGACGCCAGUCGGCAUGGAGCCGCCGGUGGAAUACCACCCUUGCAUUAUCGGAAUCCUAACCCAGGGCCGUGAACCCGGUCCGGGGACCCUGCUAGGUGGGCAGUUUGACUGGGGCGGUCGCCUCCUAAAAGGUAACGGAGGCGCCCAAAGGUUCCCUCAGCACGGUCGGUAAUCGUGCGUAGAGUGCAAAGGCAUAAGGGAGCCUGACUGUGAGGCACACAGGCCGAGCAGGCGCGAAAGCGGGGCUUAGUGAUCCGGCGGUGGUGCGUGGAAACGCCGUCGCUCAACGGAUAAAAGGUACUCCGGGGAUAACAGGCUGAUCGGGCCCAAGAGUUCACAUCGACGGCCCGGUUUGGCACCUCGAUGUCGGCUCAUCGCAUCCUGGGGCUGGAGAAGGUCCCAAGGGUUGGGCUGUUCGCCCAUUAAAGCGGUACGUGAGCUGGGUUUAGAACGUCGUGAGACAGUUCGGUCCCUAUCUGUCGCGGGCGCAGGAGGUUUGAGGGAGGCUGCCCUUAGUACGAGAGGACCAGGGUGGACGGACCUCUAGUGUACCAGCUGUCUCGCCAGAGGCACCGCUGGGUAGCUAUGUCCGGUCGGGAUAAGCGCUGAAAGCAUCUAAGCGCGAAGCCCUUCCCAAGAUAAGACCUCCCUCCCGAGCAAUCGGGACUGAAGGCCCCUCGGAGAUGACGAGGUUGAUAGGCCGCAGGUGUAAGUCCCGUGAGGGAUUUAGCCGAGCGGUACUAAUCGGCCGUGCGUCUUAACCAAACA
Molecule: ribosomal RNA, 3025 nt
Filed under: bacterium
Lineage: Bacteria
Description: 23S ribosomal RNA
Rfam family: Bacterial large subunit ribosomal RNA
Source: RNAcentral